AGUGAACGCUGGCGGUAGGCCUAACACAUGCAAGUCGAACGGCAGCACAGUAAGAGCUUGCUCUUACGGGUGGCGAGUGGCGGACGGGUGAGGAAUACAUCGGAAUCUACUUUUUCGUGGGGGAUAACGUAGGGAAACUUACGCUAAUACCGCAUACGACCUACGGGUGAAAGCAGGGGAUCUUCGGACCUUGCGCGAUUGAAUGAGCCGAUGUCGGAUUAGCUAGUUGGCGGGGUAAAGGCCCACCAAGGCGACGAUCCGUAGCUGGUCUGAGAGGAUGAUCAGGCACACUGGAACUGAGAAACGGUCCAGACUCCUACGGGAGGCAGCAGUGGGGAAUAUUGGACAAUGGGCGCAAGCCUGAUCCAGCCAUACCGCGUGGGGGAAGAAGGCCUUCGGGUUGUAAAGCCCUUUUGGUGGGAAAAAAAAGCAGCAGGUUUAUACCCCGCUGUUCUGACGGUACCCAAAGAAUAAGCACCGGCUAACUUCGUG
RNAcentral lists this ribosomal RNA (492 nucleotides) under uncultured bacterium. RNAcentral's name for it is "partial 16S ribosomal RNA". It matches the Rfam family "Bacterial small subunit ribosomal RNA", at positions 29 to 507 of the family's 1533-position model. The record is from RNAcentral.